CCCUGUCUUGAAACCCGCUCCCCCCCCCAAAAAAAAGGUAAUUGGGAUAGUGAGGUGGCUUAGAAAGAAAAGGUGCUUACUAUCAAGAAUGAGGACUUAAGCCCAAUCCCUAGAACUCAUAUGGUGGUAAGAAAAAAAAAAAAAAAAAACUACAAGUUGUCCUCUGACCUCGACAUAUGUGGUACACACACGCCUAGUCACACCACUAAAAUUUUUAAAUGUAAAAAGUAUUGAAAAAUAAAAAAGGAAGCAAUGUUAAGAUGAGGUCAUAAUUCCAAGCACAUUGCUACAAUCCCAGCACUCGGGAAGCUGAGGCAGGAAGAUCUCAAGUUUGAAGACCCUAGCCCAAAUGAAAGGAGAAAGAAGAGGAGGAGGGGAGGGAAACAAAGCCCUUGUGCCCCUAGACAGAGACUUGUACAGUGGAUUAGAAAGGGAUUAGAGGCAGGGAAGGCAUUGGAAAGGGCUUCUGACAACGCCAUGCUGACCGGGCCAGCUCCAGGGUGGUCGUCUUAGAGGUAGGGAUGACGGACAGGAGACAACGCGGAAGCGGGAAGAUGACCAGCUGCUCACAGUACAAAAGGGGAGUAGGAAUCUGGCUGCCCUUCCCUGAGGGGCUUUCUGGGCACGGCAGCAGCAGCAGCAGCAAGAGCCCCACAACAUAAGGGAGACAUGGGUUUGGCUUGAGGUGCUGGGUGUGUUGACCGCACCUGCUAGAAGCUCAGGUACAUCUGGGCUCCAGAGUCGGUGAUUUGUAGAAGCCAAAGCCAUGGGGAAGAACAUGAUAGCAACGGCAGUUGGCAGGGAGAAAUCGGGGCUGGAGAGGAGGAUGAAUAGAUAGCUGCAAUCAGGAAAAAGCCCUGGAGACUGUCACAGCCAAGGAGCCUACGGAGACAAGAUGACUGUGUGUCACAUGGAUCUCAGACGUGAUCUUGGAACAGGAAAGGGCCAUUAGAAGCCCUUUUGUUCCCUGGUAAAUGCACAGUGUGGUUCCCUUGGAGAUCUCAGGAAGCUGAGCCAUCAACCCCCCCAAGGCGGCUGGCUAGGAAGAGCGUAUUCCCUCUGGUGCCUCUUUCCCUGAGUGAGUCACACAAUGAAUCAUGUCUAAUGAUGUGCUGCGCCCUGAGUUUACCCCACCUGGAGGGCAUACCAAGGUGGCAGUAAUAACACACCUCACGUCGAACCUCAUCAGUCUCUGUGACAUGCAAGGAAGAGGACCCAUCUUGUCAGAAAGAACCACCUGACUAGAAUGUCUCUACCAGAAAGCUCGGGAUGACCCUCAUUCUCCCUGAAGCUGGACAGCUUUUCGAGAGACUCCCUGGGUCCCAGAACAUUUGCGGCAACCACAAGAACACCCCACCACAUACAAACUUCUGAAUGUGCAUGACUUCCUCCCCUACGUGCCCCACCCGCCCCUGGGACCUGCUAACUAUCUGGUCUGUGAAAUGGAUGUGGAAGCAGGCAAUAAAACAUGUCAAAGGAGUAGGAAAACCAACAGCCCCCAAAGGAGUUUGCAUGUGAAAAAAAAAAAAAUUGCACAGAAGUAGAUUAACACAGAAGAGGGAAGAUCGGGGAGAUCCAAGCCAGAAAAGGGGGCUAUACCAAGGUAAGCACAUGCCUGCAGUAUUGCACUACAAUAGCUUUGCACAAUGAGACGGCGGGGUGAAGCGGCAGCCCCACGAGGGUUCCGUCAUAGCUGACAACCACAUGUGAAUGGCAACUGUGUCAGUCAAGUCUUCAAACAACUCAAGGGCAGACAUUGUUUAGUCAUGAACAUUCUGCUCGCCUCGCUGGCCUGCCAAAGUCUUCUAUCUAAUCUCGCUGAACUGAGUUUCUCACCUAACAAAUGGGUGGUGGUUCCAACUGCUGGAGCAACUGGCUAUCACGUGAAGUGCCUGGCAUCAGGCAGGCACUCGGCACGUGGCAGGAAUCCAUGUCUCCCCAGCCCUCUGGUUGCUGGAUGCCGAACUUUGUCCCAAGUUCUUCCACUGGGCUGAGGAGAGAGCUCAGUGAGGCAAGGCACUUGUUGCCAAGCCUGACAACCUGA
This is a long non-coding RNA of Peromyscus leucopus (white-footed mouse), 2044 nucleotides long. RefSeq lists it as uncharacterized. Lineage: Eukaryota; Metazoa; Chordata; Mammalia; Rodentia; Cricetidae. The record is from RefSeq and is a predicted model, not a curated record. The transcript is spliced from 2 exons.